UGUCUUCUCAGGAUAUGGAGAAAGAAAUCAGGAAACAAGUAGAUGACGCCAUUGCUAAAGCAAAGACGCUCACGAGGCUUCACAAGGGUGCAGAAGCUGAAAAUAUAAGGAUUUUUUUCAUGGCUUCACUAUUGUAUCUUUUAGAUGAGGCGUCCAGGGCUCUCCUGAUGAAGGUACUAGAAGAUGCCACCUA
Zea mays is the source of this 193-nucleotide long non-coding RNA. RefSeq lists it as uncharacterized. The record is from RefSeq and is a predicted model, not a curated record. The transcript is spliced from 3 exons. NCBI's taxonomy places the organism in Eukaryota, Viridiplantae, Streptophyta, Magnoliopsida, Poales, Poaceae.